This 1081-nucleotide long non-coding RNA is filed under the name Nicotiana benthamiana. RNAcentral's name for it is "long non-coding RNA (NBEN_LNC026467)". Lineage: Eukaryota; Viridiplantae; Streptophyta; Magnoliopsida; Solanales; Solanaceae. The record is from RNAcentral.
GACGUUUUUGUUGUUCAAGCUAUUCAUCUAGACGGGUCAAACCAGCUUAACAAGGAACAAAAAGGCGCAACAAAUUAGCUACAAUAAUUGGGAAUAACGUAGAAAAAUGAACUUUUGUAUCACAAAUAAGUAUUCUUUCCUUAUUUCACAAAACUAUGAAAUUUCUCCAUUAUGAAUAGCAGGAGAUAAUUGCAUAAAGAAUUUAAAUGAUGAAUGAAAAAAAUCGAGUAGCCAAAUAGAUAAAACAAUACAAUAAUAAUUGUACUAAUGGACCAAGUAUGUAAUCGCAAGUGCAACAAGUAGAAGAAUAUAAGCAAUCCCUUGAUCAAUCGCUGUGCCUGCAAUAAAAUUACCAAAUCAAUUUCUUCAUAUAUUAAAAUGUAAAAAAAACUUAGUGCACAAAAUAUUCUGUAUUUACACAAGGUCCAAAAAAGGAUUGCACCCGAACGGGUGCGAUGCAAGUAACAGUGGUUGAUUUUAUGCACAAACUCGUAACUUAUAGGUCAUACAAAAACAACUUAAUCCUUGCUUCAAAGUUCCCUUCUUCACAUUUGAAGUGUAUUUAUGAAAAAUCCAAGAAGAAGAGUGAUAGUUUAAGCUCUACAUACUAUUAAAUUAAAAAAAGUUAUUUGCCUACUUUUUUGAUUAUAUAUUAGUAUAAGAUUUAUUAUCAAUGCAGUUUAACCUGUUAUAUUACUGCUUACGGAUGUUAUAAGUUGUUGUUUGUAAUUACUUUUUGAGUAAAUUGAUAGCGUGAAAAUUAAUUAUCCUACGGUAAAUGAAGAUGUUUACCGUCAUUGGAAGGAGGUGGAGCUGAAGAAGGAGCCAUGCCUUGUCCAAAACUAUACUCAACCAAAGCCAACAACAAAAAACCAAUAAUAGAUGAGAGGCUCAUCAAUCUAACCGAAUUCAUCUUCAAAUUUAUUAGAAACAGAUUUAUAAUUUUCCCAGAAAGAAAAAGGUGGAAAUUUCUUAUAUUUAGAGAAGAGAAAGGGGAUUUUUGGAGUUUACAGAGAGAAGAUGGUUGUGAGAAAGAAGGUAUGUACAGAGUUUAUUAUAUACGAGUUUAAUUAUGUGUGUG